AAUAAGGUCAUUUUUCAGUUUUUAGAUACAAUGUUUUGAUUCUUUGUCUUAUUUGAAAUAUUUUUGUGAUUAAUAUUUUUAUUGUUAUUAGAUGAUAAAAUAUGAAUAAUACUUUACGGAUGACUAAUUUUUUUAAGCUUUUGUACAAAAUUUUCAAAUAAGACGAAUGGUCAAAGCAUUGGGCACAAAAAUCGAAAAAUAACGUUAUU
Molecule: microRNA precursor, 209 nt
Filed under: Oryza brachyantha (malo sina)
Lineage: Eukaryota; Viridiplantae; Streptophyta; Magnoliopsida; Poales; Poaceae
Description: MIR812 microRNA precursor family
Rfam family: MIR812 microRNA precursor family
Source: Rfam by way of RNAcentral